UAAGCCAUGCAUGUCUAAGUCCAAGCUGUGUUCACACGGCGAGACCGCGGACGGCUCAUUAAAUCAGUCGUGGUCCAAAUGGGCCAGUGCAAAUCCUACUUGGAUAACUGUGGUAAUUCCAGAGCUAAUACAUGCAACUGAUAUCCCGAAGGCGGUGUUUGGGCUUGCUUGCCUUGCGCUGCGCUGCUCUGACGGAUGCUUUUAUUAGACCAAGCCGCUGAGGACUUGAGGGUUCGCGCUCUCUUGUCUGACUCGUGUGAUGGUGACUCUGGAUAACCAAAUUCUGACAAGCGCACGUACUUCUCUUCUGAGCGAGACGGCGCUGCCACUUUCGAGUGUCUGCCUUAUCAGCUAUCAACCGUUCGUUAUGCGCGACCGAUGGCUUUGACGGGUAACGGGGAAUCAGGGUUCGAUUCCGGAGAGGCAGCCUGAGAGACGGCUACCACGUCCAAGGACGGCAGCAGGCACGCAAAUUACCCAAUCCCAGCAAAUGGGGGAGGUAGUGACGAAAUCUAACGAUGCGGGCGCCCUUUCUGGGGCCCCGCAAUCGGAAUGGGCACUUUCUAAACAACCUG
Molecule: ribosomal RNA, 575 nt
Filed under: Eulimnogammarus verrucosus
Lineage: Eukaryota; Metazoa; Arthropoda; Malacostraca; Amphipoda; Eulimnogammaridae
Description: SSU rRNA
Rfam family: Eukaryotic small subunit ribosomal RNA
Source: RNAcentral